RNAcentral lists this ribosomal RNA (873 nucleotides) under Plectosphaerella cucumerina. Its description in RNAcentral is "LSU rRNA". It matches the Rfam family "Eukaryotic large subunit ribosomal RNA", at positions 49 to 946 of the family's 3401-position model. Lineage: Eukaryota; Fungi; Ascomycota; Sordariomycetes; Glomerellales; Plectosphaerellaceae. The record is from RNAcentral.
AGCGGAGGAAAAGAAACCAACAGGGAUUGCCUCAGUAACGGCGAGUGAAGCGGCAACAGCUCAAAUUUGAAAUCUGGCUCCUUCGGGGUCCGAGUUGUAAUUUGCAGAGGAUGCGUCGGGUACGGGUCCCUACCGAGUUCCCUGGAACGGGACGCCAUAGAGGGUGAGAGCCCCGUCUGGUAGGAUACCCAGCCCAUGUGACGCUCCCUCGACGAGUCGAGUAGUUUGGGAAUGCUGCUCUAACGGGAGGUAUACUCCUUCCAAAGCUAAAUACCGGCUGGAGACCGAUAGCGCACAAGUAGAGUGAUCGAAAGAUGAAAAGCACUUUGAAAAGAGAGUCAAACAGCACGUGAAAUUGUUAAAAGGGAAGCACUCGCUACCAGACUUGGGUUUGGCGGUUCAACCGGGGCCACGCCCCGGGGCAUUCCGCCAGCUCAGGCCAGCAUCAGCUUUCCGUCGGGGGCAAAGACGUCGGGAAUGUGGCUCCCCUUCGGGGGAGUGUUAUAGCCCGGCGUGUCAUACCCUUCGGGGGGCUGAGGUACGCGCUUCUGCAAGGAUGCUGGCGUAAUGGUAGCUAGUGACCCGUCUUGAAACACGGACCAAGGAGUCAACCUUAUGUGCGAGUGCCCGGGCGUAAAACCCCAGCGCGGAAUGAAAGUGAACGUAGGUGAGAGCUUCGGCGCAUCACCGACCGAUCCUGAUGUCCUCGGACGGAUUUGAGUGAGAGCAUAUAGGGUUGGACCCGAAAGAAGAUGAACUAUGCGUGUGUAGGGUGAAGCCAGAGGAAACUCUGGUGGAGGCUCGCAGCGGUUCUGACGUGCAAAUCGAUCGUCAAACAUGCGCAUGGGGGCGAAAGACUAAUCGAAUCUGCUG